Molecule: transfer RNA, 66 nt
Filed under: Bradyrhizobium sp. Arg237L
Lineage: Bacteria; Pseudomonadati; Pseudomonadota; Alphaproteobacteria; Hyphomicrobiales; Nitrobacteraceae
Also listed under: 1 other name
Description: tRNA-Asn
Rfam family: tRNA
About the family: Transfer RNA (tRNA) molecules are approximately 80 nucleotides in length.
Source: RNAcentral
GGAUAGCUCAGUUUGGUAGAGCAGGUGACUAUUACUCAUCGGGUCGCGGGUUCGAAUCCCGCUCCA